GGAUUGUGGCGCAGUGGUAGAGCACUUGCCUAGCAUGUGUGAGGCACUGGGUUUGAUUCUCAGCACCA
This 68-nucleotide transfer RNA is filed under the name Marmota monax (woodchuck). RNAcentral's name for it is "tRNA.Ala". Lineage: Eukaryota; Metazoa; Chordata; Mammalia; Rodentia; Sciuridae. The record is from RNAcentral.